This 31-nucleotide non-coding RNA is filed under the name Homo sapiens (human). The record is from RNAcentral. Lineage: Eukaryota; Metazoa; Chordata; Mammalia; Primates; Hominidae.
UGCACUGUUGCAGCUCUCCAGGAGCAGGUGU